UUAAGCGACUAAGCGUACACGGUGGAUGCCCUGGCAGUCAGAGGCGAUGAAGGACGUGCUAAUCUGCGAUAAGCGUCGGUAAGGUGAUAUGAACCGUUAUAACCGGCGAUUUCCGAAUGGGGAAACCCAGUGUGUUUCGACACACUAUCAUUAACUGAAUCCAUAGGUUAAUGAGGCGAACCGGGGGAACUGAAACAUCUAAGUACCCCGAGGAAAAGAAAUCAACCGAGAUUCCCCCAGUAGCGGCGAGCGAACGGGGAGCAGCCCAGAGCCUGAAUCAGUGUGUGUGUUAGUGGAAGCGUCUGGAAAGGCGCGCGAUACAGGGUGACAGCCCCGUACACAAAAAUGCACAUGCUGUGAGCUCGAUGAGUAGGGCGGGACACGUGGUAUCCUGUCUGAAUAUGGGGGGACCAUCCUCCAAGGCUAAAUACUCCUGACUGACCGAUAGUGAACCAGUACCGUGAGGGAAAGGCGAAAAGAACCCCGGCGAGGGGAGUGAAAAAGAACCUGAAACCGUGUACGUACAAGCAGUGGGAGCACGCUUAGGCGUGUGACUGCGUACCUUUUGUAUAAUGGGUCAGCGACUUAUAUUCUGUAGCAAGGUUAACCGAAUAGGGGAGCCGAAGGGAAACCGAGUCUUAACUGGGCGUUAAGUUGCAGGGUAUAGACCCGAAACCCGGUGAUCUAGCCAUGGGCAGGUUGAAGGUUGGGUAACACUAACUGGAGGACCGAACCGACUAAUGUUGAAAAAUUAGCGGAUGACUUGUGGCUGGGGGUGAAAGGCCAAUCAAACCGGGAGAUAGCUGGUUCUCCCCGAAAGCUAUUUAGGUAGCGCCUCGUGAAUUCAUCUCCGGGGGUAGAGCACUGUUUCGGCAAGGGGGUCAUCCCGACUUACCAACCCGAUGCAAACUGCGAAUACCGGAGAAUGUUAUCACGGGAGACACACGGCGGGUGCUAACGUCCGUCGUGAAGAGGGAAACAACCCAGACCGCCAGCUAAGGUCCCAAAGUCAUGGUUAAGUGGGAAACGAUGUGGGAAGGCCCAGACAGCCAGGAUGUUGGCUUAGAAGCAGCCAUCAUUUAAAGAAAGCGUAAUAGCUCACUGGUCGAGUCGGCCUGCGCGGAAGAUGUAACGGGGCUAAACCAUGCACCGAAGCUGCGGCAGCGACGCUUAUGCGUUGUUGGGUAGGGGAGCGUUCUGUAAGCCUGCGAAGGUGUGCUGUGAGGCAUGCUGGAGGUAUCAGAAGUGCGAAUGCUGACAUAAGUAACGAUAAAGCGGGUGAAAAGCCCGCUCGCCGGAAGACCAAGGGUUCCUGUCCAACGUUAAUCGGGGCAGGGUGAGUCGACCCCUAAGGCGAGGCCGAAAGGCGUAGUCGAUGGGAAACAGGUUAAUAUUCCUGUACUUGGUGUUACUGCGAAGGGGGGACGGAGAAGGCUAUGUUGGCCGGGCGACGGUUGUCCCGGUUUAAGCGUGUAGGCUGGUUUUCCAGGCAAAUCCGGAAAAUCAAGGCUGAGGCGUGAUGACGAGGCACUACGGUGCUGAAGCAACAAAUGCCCUGCUUCCAGGAAAAGCCUCUAAGCAUCAGGUAACAUCAAAUCGUACCCCAAACCGACACAGGUGGUCAGGUAGAGAAUACCAAGGCGCUUGAGAGAACUCGGGUGAAGGAACUAGGCAAAAUGGUGCCGUAACUUCGGGAGAAGGCACGCUGAUAUGUAGGUGAAGCGACUUGCUCGUGGAGCUGAAAUCAGUCGAAGAUACCAGCUGGCUGCAACUGUUUAUUAAAAACACAGCACUGUGCAAACACGAAAGUGGACGUAUACGGUGUGACGCCUGCCCGGUGCCGGAAGGUUAAUUGAUGGGGUUAGCGCAAGCGAAGCUCUUGAUCGAAGCCCCGGUAAACGGCGGCCGUAACUAUAACGGUCCUAAGGUAGCGAAAUUCCUUGUCGGGUAAGUUCCGACCUGCACGAAUGGCGUAAUGAUGGCCAGGCUGUCUCCACCCGAGACUCAGUGAAAUUGAACUCGCUGUGAAGAUGCAGUGUACCCGCGGCAAGACGGAAAGACCCCGUGAACCUUUACUAUAGCUUGACACUGAACAUUGAGCCUUGAUGUGUAGGAUAGGUGGGAGGCUUUGAAGUGUGGACGCCAGUCUGCAUGGAGCCGACCUUGAAAUACCACCCUUUAAUGUUUGAUGUUCUAACGUUGACCCGUAAUCCGGGUUGCGGACAGUGUCUGGUGGGUAGUUUGACUGGGGCGGUCUCCUCCUAAAGAGUAACGGAGGAGCACGAAGGUUGGCUAAUCCUGGUCGGACAUCAGGAGGUUAGUGCAAUGGCAUAAGCCAGCUUGACUGCGAGCGUGACGGCGCGAGCAGGUGCGAAAGCAGGUCAUAGUGAUCCGGUGGUUCUGAAUGGAAGGGCCAUCGCUCAACGGAUAAAAGGUACUCCGGGGAUAACAGGCUGAUACCGCCCAAGAGUUCAUAUCGACGGCGGUGUUUGGCACCUCGAUGUCGGCUCAUCACAUCCUGGGGCUGAAGUAGGUCCCAAGGGUAUGGCUGUUCGCCAUUUAAAGUGGUACGCGAGCUGGGUUUAGAACGUCGUGAGACAGUUCGGUCCCUAUCUGCCGUGGGCGCUGGAGAACUGAGGGGGGCUGCUCCUAGUACGAGAGGACCGGAGUGGACGCAUCACUGGUGUUCGGGUUGUCAUGCCAAUGGCACUGCCCGGUAGCUAAAUGCGGAAGAGAUAAGUGCUGAAAGCAUCUAAGCACGAAACUUGCCCCGAGAUGAGUUCUCCCUGACCCUUUAAGGGUCCUGAAGGAACGUUGAAGACGACGACGUUGAUAGGCCGGGUGUGUAAGCGCAGCGAUGCGUUGAGCUAACCGGUACUAAUGAACCGUGAGGCUUAACCUU
This 2902-nucleotide ribosomal RNA is filed under the name Escherichia coli. RNAcentral's name for it is "bacterial LSU rRNA". It matches the Rfam family "Bacterial large subunit ribosomal RNA". RNAcentral also lists the same sequence under 1 other name. Lineage: Bacteria; Pseudomonadati; Pseudomonadota; Gammaproteobacteria; Enterobacterales; Enterobacteriaceae. The record is from RNAcentral.